RNAcentral lists this transfer RNA (74 nucleotides) under Pseudopedobacter sp. It matches the Rfam family "tRNA". From Rfam's summary of the family: Transfer RNA (tRNA) molecules are approximately 80 nucleotides in length. Their secondary structure includes four short double-helical elements and three loops (D, anti-codon, and T loops). The record is from Rfam by way of RNAcentral. Lineage: Bacteria; Pseudomonadati; Bacteroidota; Sphingobacteriia; Sphingobacteriales; Sphingobacteriaceae.
GCAUCCUUAGCUCAGUUUGGUAGAGCUACUCACCUGUAAUGAGAAGGUCGGCAGUUCGAAUCUGUCAGGAUGCU